RNAcentral lists this ribosomal RNA (1337 nucleotides) under Nomia chalybeata. Its description in RNAcentral is "16S ribosomal RNA". Lineage: Eukaryota; Metazoa; Arthropoda; Insecta; Hymenoptera; Halictidae. The record is from RNAcentral.
UUUAUAAAAAUAAAAUAUAUUUAAUAAUUAUAUUUAAUUAUUAUUUUAUUUAUAAAAAAAGAAAUUUUAUUUUUUUUUGUUUUAGUAAAUUUUAAAAUAAAUUUUUAAUUUGUUUAAUAGUAUUGUGAAAGAAAUUUUAAUUUUUAAAAAAUAAAAAAUUAUUUUUGUACCUUUUGUAUCAGGGUUAAUUAAUUUAUGUAUAUAAAUAUAUAAUUCUCGAAGUAAAAUGAGCUAAAUAUUUAUAAUAGUUUAUGUUGAAUAAUAAUUAUAAAUAAAUAAUUUAGUAGUGAAAUGUUAUACAUAUUUUAGAUAUCUAGUUAUUUUAAAAUUGAAUUUAAUUCAUAUAUUUAAUAAUUAUUUUAUUAUAUUAAUAUAUAUAUAUAUUUAUUUAUUAUAAUUUAUUUAAAUAUUAAAAAUUUAUGGGAUAAUCUAUAAUUUUUUUUUAUAAUUAAAAAUUUAAAAUUACAAUAUUUAUAAACAUAAAAUUUGUUAUUAAUAAAAAAAAUUUUAUAAUUUAUUUAAUUUAAUAAUUUUUAAAUAAUUUUAAUAUAAUUUUAAUUUAUAAAAUAAUAAUUAUAAAUAAUUUAUAAUUAAAUAUAAUGAUUAAAUUAGUAAUAAUUAAAUUUAAAUUAUUUAAUAUAUAUAUAUAUAUAUAUUUAAAUAACUUGGCAAUAAUUAUAUUCAAAUGUUUAUCAAAAACAUUUCUUUUUGAUUAAUAAUUUAAGGUUUAUUCUACUCAAUGAAUUUAGUUUUAAAUAGUUGCAGUAUUCCUGACUGUACAAAGGUAGCAUAAUGAUUUGGCUCUUAAUUGGAGUCUGGUAUGAAAGAAUUAAUGAAAUAUAAACUGUUUCAAAUAUAAAAUAUGAAAUUAAAUUUUAAGUAAAAAUGCUUAAAUUUAAUUAAGGGACGAGAAGACCCUAUAGAAUUUUAUAAUAUAAUUUUAUAUUUUUAUUUAAAAAUUUUUAAUAGAUUUAUAAAAUUAAUUAUUUUAUUGGGAGGAUAAUUAAAUUUAAAUAACUUUAAUAUUUAAAAUCAAUAAUUUUUGUAAAUUAAAUGAUAUAUUAUUUAUAAUUAUUAGAUAAAAUUACCUUAGGGAUAACAGCAUAAUAUUUUUGGAAAGAUCAAAUUGAUAAAGAUGAUUAUGACCUCGAUGUUGAAUUAAAAUUAAAUUUAAAUGCAGUAGUUUAAAUAUUAAGUCUGUUCGACUUUUUAAAUUUUACAUGAUUUGAGUUCAGAUCGGUGUAAACCAGAUCAGUUUCUAUCUUUAAUUAAGUUUAAUAUUUUUGUACGAAAGGACUAAAUUUUAAUAAAUUUUAUUUAAUUAAUAUAUAUAUAUA